This 81-nucleotide non-coding RNA is filed under the name Isochrysis galbana. Lineage: Eukaryota; Haptophyta; Isochrysidales; Isochrysidaceae. The record is from RNAcentral.
GCCGAGAGCAGCUGAGAUUGCUCACCAGCCCCCCGAAAUGUGUUUUCACCUCACCCGUGGCACUCGAGCUCCUUCUUGAGC